Molecule: long non-coding RNA, 408 nt
Filed under: Phoenix dactylifera (date palm)
Lineage: Eukaryota; Viridiplantae; Streptophyta; Magnoliopsida; Arecales; Arecaceae
Description: long non-coding RNA (PDAC_LNC006110)
Source: RNAcentral
GAGAAUCAUUUCUAAGUUUAUAAAGAUCUGAAGAACCAUUUUGAUUCUCUAUAAUCAUAGAAGAUUUUGUCGACUUCUUAUCAAGUUGAUGGAGAUCCGAAGGAUCAAACUGCUUUGGAGAAUCAGUUUGAUCUUCUGUAUCAAUAUUCCAAAUCAGGGUGAUCUUCUGUAUAAUGUUUUUAUCAUCCUCAUGCCAUUGGGUAGUAUGAAAACGAUACCUUGCAACCCAAAAAUCAAAGAUCAUAUUAAAUUCAAAGAGAUGAUAUAAAUGAGAAGGGGGGGGGGGAGGAGAGAGGGAGGUGCUGGGGGACUGACUUUAUCUCUGACUACUCCAAGUCCCGAUAAGGGGAGGGAAAGAAAAGGCCAGAGUAUUUUUCUUCUGCUACUUGCUUCCAAGGGUUAGGGUUC